GAUGAACGCUGGCGGCGUGCCUAAUACAUGCAAGUCGAGCGAACGGACGAGAAGCUUGCUUCUCUGAUGUUAGCGGCGGACGGGUGAGUAACACGUGGAUAACCUACCUAUAAGACUGGGAUAACUUCGGGAAACCGGAGCUAAUACCGGAUAAUAUUUUGAACCGCAUGGUUCAAAAGUGAAAGGCGGUCUUGCUGUCACUUAUAGAUGGAUCCGCGCUGCAUUAGCUAGUUGGUAAGGUAACGGCUUACCAAGGCAACGAUGCAUAGCCGACCUGAGAGGGUGAUCGGCCACACUGGAACUGAGACACGGUCCAGACUCCUACGGGAGGCAGCAGUAGGGAAUCGUCCGCAAUGGGCGAAAGCCUGACGGAGCAACGCCGCGUGAGUGAUGAAGGUCUUCGGAUCGUAAAACUCUGUUAUUAGGGAAGAACAUAUGUGUAAGUAACUGUGCACAUCUUGACGGUACCUAAUCAGAAAGCCACGGCUAACUACGUG
RNAcentral lists this ribosomal RNA (497 nucleotides) under uncultured bacterium. Its description in RNAcentral is "partial 16S ribosomal RNA". It matches the Rfam family "Bacterial small subunit ribosomal RNA", at positions 28 to 507 of the family's 1533-position model. The record is from RNAcentral.